This 905-nucleotide ribosomal RNA is filed under the name uncultured bacterium. Its description in RNAcentral is "bacterial SSU rRNA". It matches the Rfam family "Bacterial small subunit ribosomal RNA", at positions 8 to 919 of the family's 1533-position model. The record is from RNAcentral.
AGAGUUUGAUCAUGGCUCAGGAUGAACGCUAGCGGCAGGCUUAACACAUGCAAGUCGAGGGGUAUAGUUCUUCGGAACUAGAGACCGGCGCACGGGUGCGUAACGCGUAUGCAAUCUACCUUUCACAAAGGGAUAGCCCAGAGAAAUUUGGAUUAAUACCUUAUAGUAUAGCGAGUUCGCAUGGAUUUGCUAUUAAAGAUUUAUCGGUGAAAGAUGAGCAUGCGUCCCAUUAGCUAGUUGGUAAGGUAACGGCUUACCAAGGCUACGAUGGGUAGGGGUCCUGAGAGGGAGAUCCCCCACACUGGUACUGAGACACGGACCAGACUCCUACGGGAGGCAGCAGUGAGGAAUAUUGGUCAAUGGGCGCAAGCCUGAACCAGCCAUGCCGCGUGCAGGAUGACGGUCCUAUGGAUUGUAAACUGCUUUUGUACAGGAAGAAACACCCCGACGUGUCGGGACUUGACGGUACUGUAAGAAUAAGGAUCGGCUAACUCCGUGCCAGCAGCCGCGGUAAUACGGAGGAUCCAAGCGUUAUCCGGAAUCAUUGGGUUUAAAGGGUCCGUAGGCGGCUUAAUAAGUCAGUGGUGAAAUCCCUACGCUUAACGUAGGAACGGCCAUUGAUACUGUUAGGCUUGAAUUAUUAGGAAGUAACUAGAAUAUGUAGUGUAGCGGUGAAAUGCUUAGAGAUUACAUGGAAUACCAAUUGCGAAGGCAGGUUACUACUAAUGGAUUGACGCUGAUGGACGAAAGCGUGGGUAGCGAACAGGAUUAGAUACCCUGGUAGUCCACGCCGUAAACGAUGGAUACUAGCUGUUGGAAGCAAUUUCAGUGGCUAAGCGAAAGUGAUAAGUAUCCCACCUGGGGAGUACGUUCGCAAGAAUGAAACUCAAAGGAAUUGACGGGGG